ACCUUUUGUAUAAUGGGUCAGCGACUUAUAUUCUGUAGCAAGGUUAACCGUAUAGGGGAGCCGAAGGGAAACCGAGUCUUAACUGGGCGUUAAGUUGCAGGGUAUAGACCCGAAACCCGGUGAUCUAGCCAUGGGCAGGUUGAAGGUUGGGUAACACUAACUGGAGGACCGAACCGACUAAUGUUGAAAAAUUAGCGGAUGACUUGUGGCUGGGGGUGAAAGGCCAAUCAAACCGGGAGAUAGCUGGUUCUCCCCGAAAGCUAUUUAGGUAGCGCCUCGUGAACUCAUCUUCGGGGGUAGAGCACUGUUUCGGCUAGGGGGUCAUCCCGACUUACCAACCCGAUGCAAACUGCGAAUACCGAAGAAUGUUAUCACGGGAGACACACGGCGGGUGCUAACGUCCGUCGUGAAGAGGGAAACAACCCAGACCGCCAGCUAAGGUCCCAAAGUCACAGUUAAGUGGGAAACGAUGUGGGAAGGCUCAGACAGCCAGGAUGUUGGCUUAGAAGCAGCCAUCAUUUAAAGAAAGCGUAAUAGCUCACUGGUCGAGUCGGCCUGCGCGGAAGAUGUAACGGGGCUAAACUGUGCACCGAAGCUGCGGCAGCGACGCUUAUGCGUUGUUGGGUAGGGGAGCGUUCUGUAAGCCUGCGAAGGUGUCCUGUGAGGGAUGCUGGAGGUAUCAGAAGUGCGAAUGCUGACAUAAGUAACGAUAAUGCGGGUGAAAAGCCCGCUCGCCGGAAGACCAAGGGUUCCUGUCCAACGUUAAUCGGGGCAGGGUGAGUCGACCCCUAAGGCGAGGCCGAAAGGCGUAGUCGAUGGGAAACGGGUUAAUAUUCCCGUACUUGGUGUUACUGCGAAGGGGGGACGGAGAAGGCUAUGUUGGCCGGGCGACGGUUGUCCCGGUUUAAGCGUGUAGGCUGGUUUUCCAGGCAAAUCCGGAAAAUCAAG
Molecule: ribosomal RNA, 948 nt
Filed under: Salmonella enterica subsp. enterica
Lineage: Bacteria; Pseudomonadati; Pseudomonadota; Gammaproteobacteria; Enterobacterales; Enterobacteriaceae
Also listed under: 1 other name
Description: partial 23S ribosomal RNA
Rfam family: Bacterial large subunit ribosomal RNA
Source: RNAcentral